AUCACACAAUAGCUGAAACAGAAAUAUUAUAGGACUAAGAACACAUAAAUGAUACUGAUCAAUGCAAAAGGUGAAGUCAUCACAGCGAGAUCAAAGGUUGAAACGCUUGUGGUAUAAUUGCUUAAGGAUUGGUAGCUGAUUCAGGUUUGGUGUCUUUGGAAGGGAAUGUGGACUUUGGUAACUCAGGCAAGUGGGGAAAAGUUGGCAGUUCAGGUUUUGGCAACUCAGGCAAGUGGGGAAAAGCUGGCAGUUCAGGCUUUGGAAACUCAGGCAAUUCAGGUUUUGGCAGCGUGGGAAUUUCAGGCUUCGACAACUCAGGCAAUUCAGGUAAUUUUGGCAGAGUGGGAAGUUCAGGUUUAGGAAAGGUUGGGACUUCAGGUAAUGGUGGAAGCUCAACCUUAGGAAGUAAUGGCAAGUCAGGCAAUUCAGGCUUAGGAAGCUCCGGGACCUCAGGUAAUGUUGUCUCUAGAAGCUGUCGUGCUUCUGCAGAGAUUGACAGAGCAACGAGUGAGAGCAGAACAAUGAGUGAAGGGGAGCGAAGAUUGGCCAUAACUAUGCAACAAGAUCAAUCAGCUGUAAAUACAAUUUAUCCUCACUUUUGUUUUGUGUGUGUUGAUGUUCACUUGUGUUGAGCUUUUAUAGAAGUGGGAAGUGAAGAAUGGGGAACUUCCAAAGGUGAUUUAGUGGGAAAAGUUGUGUUAGCUCAACUUCCCACCCAUAAGACUCCCACUGUUGGCAUGACCAACUAUAGACUUCCUUACAAGUGUAACCUUGCUAUCUUUCUAUAUGGAGUCCAGAGAUUGGUUAGAUUGAUAAUAAGCUAAAAUAUGGUUCUCACUUGUAAUCAUUCUCAGAAAUCAGAACACUUGUGAAGUUCAAGCUUUUUCACCUAUUUAAUAAUUCACUUCUUUCCUGUUCUACCUACAAAAGAUGAGAUUCUGAAGAAUGGUUCUUCUUUAGUUACUUUAAAAUAAUGUUCAACGAAGAUAGCCUCAUCUGCAAAGUUGGCCAACCUACACACUAAACUUUGACAUGUCUUUCUUUUUAUUGAAGCUCUGACUGAUCUUCACAUCACAUCCAAUUAUCCACAAGGUACUCUUCUAUUUGAAAUUAAGAAUUUUAUUAAAAAUUAAUUCAAUUGAUUUCUUUUAUAUCAAUCUCUUGGUUGGAAUGAGAUUCAAUUUUUUUGACUUAUAAAAUUUUCAUAUUAAAAAAAUUGAAACCAUGUGUAUUCUUGUAAGAAUUUAUUUAUAUUCUUUUUUUUUUCAAACUGAAUCAUUGCAAACAAAAGGACUAUAUAAGGUAGUAUAUAUGAUUCUCAGUUGUAAUUAUAACAGUUCAAAAUAUGUCUAAUCACAUUAGUUUCGGUAGAUCUUCAACAAACUGAAAAUUACUAAUGUUUACAACGGAAUCUGUCUCAGCAAUAUGUAAUCUCCAUAUGCUUUUUUAGUUUUCAGAAACCUUGUAAUUUUUACAGAAUAAAGGAAUUUUACCAUUACGGGUGUAACAUCUAGUUAAACUCCGAUGUCGGAAUCUCAACGUUCUGACGGAAUCUCCGUCGAGAUCCAGAAUCUCGAAGCUAAAAUUUUUAGAAGGAUAAAAUAGAGUUUUCAUAAAAUGAAUUAAAAAUUUUUCUUGGUGUGUUUUAAAAAAAAAUAAAAAAUUUAGAGGAGUUUUAAAGUUCGGCCGCCGAAGACGGCUCUUCCAGCCACUUAUAAAAGGCCUUCAACCCAAAAAUAUGAGAACUCUUUCUCUAUUUUCGAGCAGAGGUAAGUCCAUGCCCUUUUCCAGACAUUCUUGCUAAAAUUACUUCAAAUCUCUUGGAGAAUACAUGAGUUUUUACUUCAUUUUUUAAGAUUUGAGUUUGGAUUUCAAGCUUUAAACUUUGGAGACCUCCGAAAAUCGAUUUCCCAAUUCUCCAAAUCUUGGUUGUUGUGUUUUCUAUGUUUUUCAAGAGGUAAGUUCAAUCUUUGCUUUUCUUAUGCUUUUUGAAGGUUUUAAACCGAUAUUAUAAGUUGUUAGGACAUGCAUGAUUGAUUAUUCUAAAGUUUUAAAGUUUGAGUUAGUUUUGAUGAUGGAUGAUUUUCUCCUGGGAUUUUGUUGAUGCAUGUUGAGUUUAGAACAGUUUUUGAGGUCUCUUAUGCGUGUUAAGUGUGUAUGGUAGUCUUUAGCCUGUUGCAUGUAAGUUUGGGUUUGUUUAUUGGCUAUGAGCAUAGGGCAAAAUCAGGUUCUGCCUUACUGGAGAUCCUAGGUUCAGCCGCUGAAGCAAGGUUCGGCCACCAAAUCUGUCUGUAGAGGCAGCCAUUUGGCCACCUAACCUGCCGCUGAAAGUCCUCUGUUCAGCCUUUUUCAGCUUGUUUCCUACGUGUGUUCUUGUAUGUUCUUAGGGGUUUUCUUGAGGGUAGUUUAAGUAUUGUAAUAGUUAUGUUUGGUUCCUCAUUUAAAUCCAUCUAUGUAGGAUCGGACUUUGGAGACUGUAGAGGCUUGCAGUGAGAUAACUGCUUCAGUACUAGGCGUGCAUCAGUCAAAGGUGAGUAGAACUGAACUGAUAUAUUAUUUUAAAGAAAUCAAACUUUUUAAGCAUACUCAUACAUCACGAAUGUCAUGUAUAUACGAUUAGGUUGUUUUGCAUUAGAGUUCACGAAUAUAAUACAUUGCAUAAAUUAUUGUUGUUGUGGAUGGACGUUGGAUGACCCACUAGCCCUCGAGUAUGUUAUGAUAUGUUAUGAUGGAUAUGGAAAGACUAGGGUUGCCUAUUCUACGCCUCUGGCACUAUGUAAGGGAAAGACCAGGGCUGCCCAUUCUAUGCCCCUUGCACUAUGGAUAUGUUAUGUUAUAUUUAAGAGGAAAACCUGAGGAGCACUCGUCGUGGGCCGAGCACUAUUGAAAUCUGUAGAGGGUUACUGAUGACAAGUCCAUUUUGAUGUAAAUUGUUUGUGCUGUGAUGCAUUCAUACAAUCAUAUAUUUUAUUGAACUGUUUUUUUAUGUUCUGCUCACUAGACUCUUAUAGUUUAUCCCCUUUCCCCUAAUCCCAGGUUUGCAGGAUCAAAGUUAGCUCGGGAAGUCGGCUGAGUUGCUGGUAUAGCCUAUUGUAAUAGUAUAGCUAUGGAAAUAUAUUCAUUUGUGGAUUAGAAUUGUGCUUUGCCCGGGUUCUUCCUUGUAAUCCUUGUUUCAUGAUCAUUUUAUAUAAAAGUUUUUAAGUAUAAGUUUAUGUUUAAAUCGAGCUUGAGGCAUGUUAUGUCACACCCAUUCUCAAAACUGUGGAGAUGGAUAUGACCCGAAAAACUGACAGAACUUCCCCUGUUGUUAAUACAUAUAACUCAUAUGACCUGCUAUAAUUUCAAAAUAUAAAACAUAUAAGAGAUGAUUGAUAGCUAGACUGGUCAAUACAUAAUAUAUUUACAAUAAACAAAACACGUUCAUCAUUUGAAUUUACAAUCUAUACAUAAUCUGUCAAAAUUACAAAAAGAAAAGACAAGACCUAGGAUUGGUCCGACCUCCUCUAGACUCUGAGUGGACGAUGUGGAAGGAAUAACAAACUAGGAGAUGAGGACUGCUGAGCGGAUCACCAAAAAAAAACUGAAUAUUAAAAGAAAUAAGAGUGAGUACAACAUAUUCAGUGAGUGGAUAAAUAAAUAACAAAGGGGAAAAGAUAAGUUUAGGUAAUUAAUAGUACCAAAUAUUUAGCUAAAAUAAGUCAGCUGAAUAAAUACAAUUUAAUUCCUAGGCCUGGGCCUUAUAUGUUAUGUUGACCAUACCGAAGCAUUUGAUGAGGGCUCUAGUAUAGGUUUUAUGUUUUCAGUUACGAUGCAUGCACAAGUCGAGUCUUGGUUCAUGUAAUAAUUAUAUUUUUGUUGUUUGUAUGAUCAUGCAUGGAAUUAUAUCAUAUGUAAUAGGAUGUAUAGUAUGCUUGCUGUGGGCUCCAGUGACCUUAAGUCGAUUUGAACCCUAGCACCGGUAGUGGUCUGGUUCCCGGGUCGUUACAGAGUGGUAUCAAAGCCCUAGAUUCAUAUGACUGGGCCUAGAGUGUUGGGCUCAUAGAUGUUAUAGAGGGCAAAUACAAUUAGGAAAUAUUAUAUCCACUAGGAUAGAAUGUAGAGUCUUGUCAUGAUAUAUGUGAUAACCUCCAGAUCUUUCCUAGCCCAGGAAUAAGGUCGGGUCCAAAAGAAGGCACAGGUCCAAAGCCCAUCAGAUCAUACGCUCGAGAGGCGGCUCGACUUCACGAGCCUGGGCCGGCAACCCAGGAUGAUCCGGAUCAGAUAUGAGCACAAGCCCCAUAAGGGAGUAGGCCCAAUCACUCACCAGCUCUACCCGCAUGCUCUCUGGAGAGCAUUAAAUGGCCGUUACGCAUGGAGCAGGUGCCUGACACGCCCGUAUGUACGGGCCUGAGUGACAAGGACAGGAAGCACUAUAUAUCGGGGGGUCUCCUCUUGCAAGGGGGAUCUUCUUCUUUUUCUUCUCCUGCCUGGACUCCAUUUUUAUUUUCUCUGCAACUCUUGCCUAGAUAUACUACUCUUAUUCAUGAAACCUGACUUGAACGUCGGAGGGUCUCCGCUGGGGCAUCCCGGUGGACCCUUGACCAUUUUUCCUUAUUUUGCAGGUCCCUUUCUCAGAUAGAACAUGGAGAGACCCAUUUGACAGAUUCGUCUGGGAGCCCAAGAAGGAAUCAGAUCCACAUAAGAGGGGGCGAGGGAGGACCAGAUCUAACAAAUAUGGAGCCCAGGGAGAUUUAAAGUUAUCAAUAUGUAUAAUGAUGUAUAAUGUCAUGACUAUAUACAUGUGCAUUGAUGAUAUGAUAGGUAUGAUGUGGGUUCAUGUGUAUCCACAUGAACCAUAUGAUGCUAAUGCCUAUAUGUUUAAAUGAUUUUUCAGAAGACAGAAUGCAUGGCUUAUGUCGAUCUGUACGAUUGACUAGAGUCCCAUCCGAAAAAUGAGGGUAUAGACGCCCUUCCUCCUGCUGCUCCGUCAAGAGUGCGGUCAAGUAGAAAUAACAAGAAUGAAAAGUCAAGAGACCCUAUAAUGUCUUUUAAUAUAAACAAAAAGAGAACAGAUCCGAGUAGGAUGUUUGCAGAUGCCAGAAAAACAGUAGGAAAUGAUUAGAGGAGAGAUAGAAGUUUGGGUAUGAGUUUUGAAGUAGAGGGUGUGGGAGAGUCUGAAAGAGGAACAGAAGGCGUCAGACCAUAGGAUCCGCCUAUCCACCUCAGUACCAACCCUAUGCACAGGAACUCGGGUAUCCGAUGGAAAGUACAACAGAUUACUCUAGCUACCACCCAUACCCCUCAUUCAUACCCUAUCCUCCUUGCUAUUCAUUAUAUCCACCCUACCCUAUCUUAUGUUUUCGCCUCCUCCCCAUUACUAGAAUUUGGCAAACUCUAACUCAGGAAAUGUUGCACCACCUCCUCCUCCAGCAAAACCAGCUAGAAAAAAGUUUUUAUACCCAGAUAGAAAAAAGUUUUUUCUUCAAACUAUAUCAUUCAUUUUAUUUUAUUUACAAUUUUAAUUAAAUCAGUUUUUGAUAAUUUUUCAAAAAAUUAAAUUUGAAAUAAAACAGAUAUUUUUUUUAAAAAUUUUAGGACAUUAAUAAUUUUUAACUUUGAUUAGCAAUUUAUAAUAUUAAACAUUAUACUUUUUAAUUAACAACAAUUCCAUUUAAUUUUCUAAGUUCAGUAAUUCUCUUUAUGGCCCUGAACUAUUUAAUAAGAUUGAUGAGGGUCAUAGCAAAAACCAAAUAAAUAAACUGGAUCAAUUUUGUAUAUAGAAUAUAAACAUACAACGUACAUCAUACAAAAGCUGAAACAAAAAUAUUAUAGGACUAAAACUCACUUCAAAUUUAAGCAUGCAUAUAUAUAACAUAUGAAUCAGACACUUAAGAACACAUAAAUGAUACUGAUCAAUGCAAAAGCUGAAGUCAUCACAGCGAGAUCAAACGUUGAAACCCUUGUGGUAUAAUUGCUUAAGGAUUGGUAGCUGAUUCAGGUUUGGUGUCUUUGGAAGGGAAUGUGGACUUUGGUAACUCAGGCAAGUGGGGAAAAGUUGGCAGUUCAGGUUUUGGCAACUCAGGCAAGUGGGGAAAAGCUGGCAGUUCAGGCUUUGGAAACUCAGGCAAUUCAGGUUUUGGCAGCGUGGGAAUUUCAGGCUUCGACAACUCAGGCAAUUCAGGUAAUUUUGGCAGAGUGGGAAGUUCAGGUUUAGGAAAGGUUGGGACUUCAGGUAAUGGUGGAAGCUCAACCUUAGGAAGUAAUGGCAAGUCAGGUAAUUCAGGCUUGGGAAGCUCCGGGACCUCAGGUAAUGUUGUCUCUAGAAGCUGCCGUGCUUCUGCAGAGAUUGACAGAGCAACGAGUGAGAGCAGAACAAUGAGUGAAGGGGAGCGAAGAUUGGCCAUAAUUAUGCAACAAGAUCAAUCAGCUGUAAAUAAAAUUUAUCCUCACUUUGUUUUGUGUGUGUUGAUGUUCACUUGUGUUGAGCUUUUAUAGAAGUGGGAAGUGAAGAAUGGGGAACUUACAAAGGUGAUUUAGUGGGAAAAGUUGUGUUAGCUCAACUUCCCACCCAUAAGACUCCCACUGUUGGCAUGACCAACUAUAGACUUCCUUACAAAUGUAACCUUGCUAUCUUUCUAUAUGGAGUCCAGAGAUUGGUUAGAUUGAUAAUAAGCUAAGAUAUGGUUCUCACUUGUAAUCAUUCUCAGAAAUCAGAACACUUGUGAAGUUCAAGAUUUUUCACCUAUUUAAUAAUUCACCUCUUUCUUGUUCUACCUACAAAAGAUGAGAAUCUGAAGAAUGGUUCUUCUUUAGUUACUUUAAAAUAAUGUUCAAUGAAGAUAGCCUCAUCUUCAAAGUUGGCCAACCUACACACUAAACUUUGACAUGUCUUUCUUUUCGUUGAAGCUCUGACUGAUCUUCACAUCCAAUUAUUCAAGUUAAUCUUCUAUUUGAAAUUAAGAAUUUUACUAAAAAUUAAUCCAAUUGAUUUCUUUUAUAUAGAUCUCUUGGUUGGAAUGAUAUUCAAUUUUUUUUUAACUUAUAAAAUUUUUAUAUUAAAAAAAUUAAAACUAUGUGUAAUCUUGUUAGAAUUUAUUUGUAUUAUUUUCUUUCAAACUGAAUCAUUGCAAACACAAGGACUAUAUGAGAGAGUAUAUAUAAAUCUCAGUUGUAAUUAUAACAGUUUAGAAUAUGUCUAAUCACAUUAGUUUUGGUAUAUCUUGAACAAACCGAAAAUUACUAAUGUUUAUAACGGAAUCUGUCUCAACAACAUCUAAUCUCGAUAUGCUUUUCCAAUUAAUCUCGAUAUGCUUUUCCAAUUUUCAGAAGCCUUAUAACUUUUACAGAAUAAAAGAAUUUUACCACGGAGAGUUCAUUUAAUCUUUGAUUUGAUUUGAGUAAAAAUAAAUAAAUUGAAUUAAAUCAAACCAAAUUUUGAAGAGUUCAAACUUAUUUUUUAAAUUUUUUUUAAGUUUGAGUUUCAUUUUGAACUUGAGCCAAGUAUUAAUAAGCUUAAAUUUGGCUCAUUUAGCAAACGAAUUUAGAUAAAUCGAAUUUUUAUCGAGUUUAGUUUUGAAUAAUUUACGAAAAGUUCAAUUUAUUUACAUAUAUAUAUAUAAUAAGAUUUAGUUGAAAACUAAUACGUUUAAAACUAAAUAAUUUUAGUUAAAUAAGUAUAUAUAUAAAUUAGCUUUUAAAAUUAUAAAGGAUGAGUUUUUAAAUUUUAAUGAUUCAAAUAUCUAUAAAUUUUAAAAGUAUAAUUAAACUAUGCAAGUUGAACUUUAAAAAACUUAGAUCUGAUUCAUGAAAAUAUAUACAAAGUAUAAUUUAGUUCUCUUAUAAUAUUACUUUCCGUAUGCUUAUUUGAGACCGUUUAUAAGUUUGUUCGCGAGCUUGCUCAUAAAUUCGAAAAUGAGCUGAAUUCGUGAGUCUUAAAGAGUCUAAUACAAAUGAAUCUGAAAAUUAAGUUCAAUCUUGAUUCAUUUAGAAAUCAAGUUGAGUUUGAUUGAACUUUUUAUCGAAUUGAACUUUCAAUAAUUCACGGACAAUUUAAUCCAUUUACACCACUAAUAGUUAUUUAGGGUCAGAUAUAAUUGCGCUCUAUAAUAGUAGAACUAAAGAGUUGGUUCUAUUAAUUACCACAGAGCCAAUCUAUUAUUGGUCGUUGAUAGAUGCGCAUUGUGGGAGUAACCCUAAUGGAAAAAUUAAUUGAUUGAAAGCUUACUUUGUAGUCAAUAAAUUACCACUAAAAUAUGAGCUUGAUUACAAUAAUAUUUUGACUCAAAUGGCUAAAAUUUUAUCAAUUCGUCUUCUUGUCUCCUUAACAACAUCCACAUCAUUGGCCUCUUUAUUGAAUAGAUAAAAAAAAUUACUUUUUAUACGAAGAACUUAUAAAGAAAGUUCUUAUAAAGCAAUCAUCAGACCAUCAGAGUUUGUUGCUGAGAGGAUCAGGCAUGGUAUGCCAUUUAUGACAAAUACCACACGGGUUAAAAGUAGCCUGUAAGGAUGUUGUUUGGAUAGUUUAGUAAUGGGAUCCAACAGAUUAGGAUGUGUAGGAGUGAAGCCUAAUGUGCCCCUUAUAUGGGUCAUAGGCAAUCCUCCCCCUUGAGCUAGCUUUUGGGGUGAGUUAGGCCUGGCCCAAAUUUAACUUGGUAUCAAAGCCUCCCCAUCCGAUGUUGGGCCUCCCAUAAAUGUGUCACGCACCAGUAAAAUUCUGGGCGUGAGGGGGGUAUGUUGAAUCCCACAUCGGUUGUGGAAAGGGGUAAUGUGCCCCUUAUAUGGGUCAUAUAUAUAUAUAUCAUUAAAUAAAGCAUAAUUCUUGUAUAGAUUGAGUCUAUACGGACAUGUAGUAUAAAUUAUAUGUGAUUUGUUAUAGCUGUCACUACUAUUUUAUAUUACAGUCUGAUGACUGCUGGAUUUCUUCACCCCGACCUAAAGGCCAGGCCCCUGAAAACAGUCCAUAAUCCGAAGGCUUCAAUAUUCCCCUCGAGAGCCAGGUCUAGCCCGCUCAGUCACAGGGCCGGACUCUGCCUAGACUCCUCAAUCAAGCCGGCCCAAACCUCUCGGCCCAAUAAUCAGGCCCUCACCAGGCUCAACUUCAGCCCUACCAUUCAACCCAGCCCAGAAAGAGGAAAAUGACUAACCUGCCCCGCUGAUGGGUCCUUCCGCAUGCGUAUCAGAGGAGAAUUAAUGGUCGUUACGCAUGGAGCAGGCGCCUGACACAUCCGUACAUACAGAGCUGGGCGGCAGAAGACAGCUAGCAUUGUGGCAGAGAGACAGAUAUAUAUAUUACAGUAGAGGCCACGCAAAAGAGGGGGCUCUCUCUUCUUCUUCCUUCUCCUUCCUGGACACCAUUUUUAUUCUUUCUGCAACCCUUGCCUAAAUAUACUACUCUGAGCCAUAAAAUCUGACUUGAGCGUCGGAGGGCCUCCACCGGGGCACCCCCGGUAGGCCCCUGACCAUUCUUUCUUAUUUUACAGGUCCUUUCACCAGGUAAAACAUGGAGAGAUCCAUCAGGGAGCCCAGCAAGAAGGGACCCAGAAGAAAACCAGAUCUAUCAUGGACCAGGAAGAGGAAAAAAUUUAUCACAGUCCAUAUAAAACCGGUGUAGAUAAGUUUUUGCCCUUCAAGGAAAAUUGGUAAAAGAAUAUAAUUAGUAAAUUCUUUCAAUUUUUAGUAUAUGGAAAAUAAUUAUCACCCAUGAUUGAAUUAUUGGACAACAUCAUCAAAGAGAACUCUAGCAAAGUCCUUUCGUAUUUUCAUAUUUUCACUCUGUACCGAAUAAUUUUUGUUUUUUUUUUUUAAAUGAGAAUUGGAGAUUAGGAGAGUAGAACCUAAGCUUGUAAAUGCAGAUUGAAUAGUCUUAUAAUUGAAAUAUCUAAAUAAAAUCAUAAACAAAAUGAAUUUUAACUCAGAUCUUAACAAAUUAAUAUAAUAAUCUCAAUUUGAUCUAGUGUAUCUUUUGAUUUACAGUUUUUUAAGUCAAAUGUCAAUGAUAAAUUUAAAAUUUUAGUAGUUUUUUUCUCGUAACUCUAUUCCUAUUAUUAGAAUCUCUCUUUUACCGAAAAAUUCUUCAUAGUUAUGGAGGAAAAAUUUUUCUUUUUCUUGAAAAACUUAUCAUUUAUUUUAUUUUAUUUAUAAUUUUAAUUAAAUCGGUUGUUCAUAAUUUUUCAAAAAUUUAGAUUUGAAAUAAAAUAUAUUUUUUUUAAUUUUAGGCCAUCAGUAAUUUUUAAGUUCAGUGACUCAUAAUAUUAAAUUUAUAUUUUUUUAAUUCACAACAAUAUUUUAAUUUUUAAGUUCUGUAAAUUCUUGUGGCUCUGUGUGAAUGUGCUUGGAUCAUGAACUAUCAAUAAGAUUCAUCACAAUCAUACCCAAGAUCAAGAUCAAAUAAAUAAGCUGAUCAACUCUGCAAAUAGAAUAUAAACUGUACAUCAUACAAAUAUUUGAAAUAUAAAGAUUACAGGACUAACAUCCACUCCAAAUUUAAUCAUAUAUAUAUGUAAUCAAUGAUACUGAUCAAUGCGAAAGAUGAAGUCAUCACUGUGAGAUCAAACAUCGAAACAUUUAUGGUAUAGUUGUUUAAGGACUGGGAGUUGAUUGAGGAGGUUUUGUGUCCUUGGCAAGGAAUGUGGGCUUUGGUAACUCUGGCAAGUGGGGAAAAGUUGGCAGUUCAGGUUUUGGUAACUCAGGCAAUUCAAGUUUUGGCAAAGUGGGAAUUUCAGGCUUUGGCAACUCAGGCAAUUCAGGUUUUGGCAGUGUGGGAAGUUCAGGCUUAGGGAAGGCUGGGACUUCUGGUAAUGGUGGAAGCUCAACCUUAGGCAGUGAAGGCAAUUCAGGCUUGGGAAGCUCAGAUACCUCAGGCAAUGCUGUUUUUAGAAGGUGUCGUGCAUCUACGGAUUGACAGAGUGAUAAGUGAGAGCAUAAUGAUGAGGGAAGGGGAGCGAUGAUCGGCCAAAAUGCGACAAGAUCAACCACCUGCAAAGUGAAUAGUAAUUAAAAUUUCUGGACAAUUUUGUUUUGCGUGUUGAUGUUCACUUAGUGUUGAGCUUUUAUAGAAGUGGGAAGUGGAGAAUGGAGAACCUUCAAUGGUAAUUUGGUGGGAAAACUUGUGUCCUGUUAGCUCAACUUCCCAUCUAUAAUCCUCCAACAACUGGCAUGACCCAUUAUAGGCUUCCAUACAAAAGUAAUCUUUCCGUCCUUCUACAUGGAUUCAAGAGAUUAGUUGGAGAGAACCACAGCUAAAAGAUUGACAUUAAGCUAAAAUAUGUUGUCAGAAAUCACAACACUUGUCAAGUUCAAGCAUUUUUACAAAUUUAAUAAUUCACCACCACUAAACUUUGACAAAUCUUCCUUUAUUGCAACGCUUAUUGUUAUUGUUGGAAUUUAAUGACUGACCGAUCCAAAUCUCCAUGCGAUGAAAGUGUUGAAUUCCAAUUUAAUAUGAUGGCCUCUUCUAAAAUACUUCUAGACAAUUUAAAUUAAAUUUCAAUUAACUUAUCAUAUUAUAAAGCUUAUUAUUAUCAAUGUCAAGACUACGUUAUGAAAAAUAUCUUUCAUAUUUUUUGUUAUUUGGAAUAAUGAGAAAAAUUAAUCAAUAAAAAUAUUUUCUUGAUUAAAGAAAAAAUUAAAUCAUUUUAAAAAAAUACUGCUUCUUGGCUCUUUCUUUCUCAUCAAUUCUAUUUUCCUGUUGUGCUCUUCCAACAAAUCCAUAGUCACCAACUUGCCCUUUGAAAUUUAAAUUAUUGGACGACAUCAUCAACGAGAAUUCUAGCAAAGUUCUCUAAUAUUUUCUUCAUCAAUGUUGAAUUUUGAGAGGGAAGGGGAAUAAUACAUAUGAAUGCGACUAAAUAGUCUUACAAUUUUAUUGAUUGUAUUGUUAUUUAUACAGUCAAAUAUAAUUAAAAAAUCUAAAUAAAAUUAUAAAUAAUUUAAAUAUUAACUUAAAUAUUAAUAAAUUAAAAUAAUGAUUCAAAUUUAAAUUAUAUGAUUUAGCAUAUUUUUCGGUUUCUAAAUCAAAUAUCCAACGAUCAAUUUAAAAUUUUAGUACUCAUAAGCCCUUGGUAUUAUUAGAAACUCUCUUACUAAAAUUUUUUAAUAAUUAUAAAUAAAAAAGUUUUAUUUUUCUUUCAUAAUAUUAGAAAUAAAACCAUAUCAUUUAUUUUAUUUAAUUUGUAAUCGAAUUAAAUCGGUUGUUCAUGAUUUUUUGAAAAAUUAGAUUUAAAAUAAAAUGGAUAAUUUUUUAAUUUUAGGCCAUCAAUAAUUUUUAAGUUCAGUAAUUCAUAAUACUAAAAUUUUUUAAAAAAAUUCACAACAACAAUUUAAUUUUUAAGUUCAGUAAUAAUUUCUCUUUGUGGCUCUGCAUGAAAGUGCUUGGAUCAUGAACUAUUAAAUAAGAUUGAUCAGUCAUACCCAAAAUCAAAUAAAUAAGCUGGAUCAACUCAGUAUAUAGAAAAUGAACUCACAAGAUACAUCAUUCAAACAACUGAAACAGAAAUAUUAUAGGACUACCACUCACUGCAAAUUAAUCAUGUAUAUGUAAAAGAAGAUAUAAAUGAUACUGAUCAAUGCGAAAGAUGAAGUCAUCACUGUGAGAUCAAAUAUAGAAACACUUAUGGUGUAGUUGUUUAAGGACUGGUGGUUGAUUGAGGAGGUUUUGUGUCCUUAGAAGGCAAUGUGGGCUUUGGCAACUCAGGCAAGUGGGGAAAAGCUGGCAAUUCAGGCUUUGGCAACUCAGGCAAUUCAGGUUUUGGCAGUAUGGGAAGUUCAGGUUUAGGAAAGGUGGAGACUUCAGGUAAUGGUGGAAGCUCAACUUUAGGCAAUGAUGGCAACUCAGGCUUGGGAAGCUCAGGUACCUCAGGCAAUUCUGUCUCCAGAAGGUGUCGUGCAUCUACAGAGAUUGAUAGAGUGAUGAGUGAGAGCAUAAUGAUGAGGGAAGAGCGAAGAUCGGCCAUAAUGCUAU
RNAcentral lists this long non-coding RNA (12937 nucleotides) under Manihot esculenta (cassava). Its description in RNAcentral is "long non-coding RNA (MESC_LNC003822)". The record is from RNAcentral. Lineage: Eukaryota; Viridiplantae; Streptophyta; Magnoliopsida; Malpighiales; Euphorbiaceae.